GUGCCGACUAAUUGGCUAACCACGCCCAGCCUGCGGAGGAUGCCAGGAGCAUGACAGUUCCCACGUGCAACUUUUUAGUUGGCAAACCAGCUCAAUCGCGCCUAACCCCGCCAACUGAUGUUCUUCCGCCACUGAAGAGAAACCAAUGUGAGUUGAUGGUGGCGGAAUGAUGUGAAGUUUGCUGCCGCCAUCUCGCAGUGACUGAAACUGGUCUAAUCAAUGCACUCAUAUUUCAAGUAACGUGGAACAGGGUGGUCAAUAAACAACGUUAAAUAAUAAGCCACAUGUUGCUUCACCCAAAUCUGGAGAACUUCUGGAGGUUGUUUUAUUGAUGAAGCCAUAGCACACGUCUCCACCGUAUCCUCAUUCUUCACAACAGCCAGUCUUGUCAAAAUUUUUGAGGUGCUGCUCUUGUGAGACUCUCACACGUAAGGUAUCAUUUCCGAAGACAGUGAAGAGGACACAAAGAUAUGAAGAUGAAUUUUUAUUAUUAUUAUUAUGCUCUCUUUGAGAGGGACUGCCAUGGUACAUCAGAAUCAAGACAAACAAAACACACGAGCACUUUACAACUGGGGAAAUUAAGCGAUACUAUAAUAUUACUGAACUGAUGAGCUAAUAUGAACGAAGAGAACAGGAGAAGUGGCGCUAUUUAUUUGCAGGGGAAAACAAACGACAGGACAGAAAGGGCUGAUACGAUCAUGCGAGCCAGGUGAAAAACAUACUGAGUGGCGGGGGAAAAAAGCCAAUAGAGCCAUUAGAACAGAUCAAUCAAAGAGAUACAGCUUGGAGAACUGGAAGACUGGCACAGACUUGAUUGGAUAAGGAAGGAUCCAAGAGACGUUGAGGCAGAAGCUACACUGGAUUAAUGGAUUAAGAGUAAGAGCCACAAUAUUUGUUGGAAUGAAGAAUUUUGUCUGACACCAGUGGUGGAUAGCAAUGAGCUACAUCCACUCCAUCAUUUAAGUAAUUUUAUGGAUAGAUGUAGUUGUCAGAAUAGUUUCAAUGCAAUAUACGUUUUACUUUUUGCGUAAGAAGAAACUCUACUUACAUUUUGCUCGCUACUUACAUUUUUAGCUACAUGUAAUUAUUAUUGCUUGCACGAUCUAUUUGGGUUUUUCAGAGAUAUUUGACCAAUCAAAUGGAGACAGGCAGUCACAUGACCACACAGAAGCAAAGUUUGCAAUGUCUCAUUUACGCGAAAUAUGGCAGAAAUCUAUGUUGACCUCGCAGAUGGACUCAAACUCUUGACCGACAUAAGGAUAAAUGCUACACAAUAUUUCAAACUACAAGAACUCCACAAAUAAAAAAAAAACAUUGUAGUUGAAGUACACGAUUUUGUAAAUGAGUCUCUAUUCAAAGUAAAAGGAUGGCAGGUUCAAAGUAAAA
This is a long non-coding RNA of Syngnathoides biaculeatus (alligator pipefish), 1386 nucleotides long. RefSeq lists it as uncharacterized. The transcript is spliced from 4 exons. NCBI's taxonomy places the organism in Eukaryota, Metazoa, Chordata, Actinopteri, Syngnathiformes, Syngnathidae. The record is from RefSeq and is a predicted model, not a curated record.